UCAGGCCUAACACAUGCAAGUCGAGCGGUAACAUUUCAAAAGCUUGCUUUUGAAGAUGACGAGCGGCGGACGGGUGAGUAAUGCCUGGGAAUUUGCCCAUUUGUGGGGGAUAACAGUUGGAAACGACUGCUAAUACCGCAUACGCCCUACGGGGGAAAGCAGGGGACCUUCGGGCCUUGCGCUGAUGGAUAAGCCCAGGUGGGAUUAGCUAGUAGGUGAGGUAAAGGCUCACCUAGGCGACGAUCCCUAGCUGGUCUGAGAGGAUGAUCAGCCACACUGGGACUGAGACACGGCCCAGACUCCUACGGGAGGCAGCAGUGGGGAAUAUUGCACAAUGGGGGAAACCCUGAUGCAGCCAUGCCGCGUGUGUGAAGAAGGCCUUCGGGUUGUAAAGCACUUUCAGCGAGGAGGAAAGGGUGUAAGUUAAUACCUUACAUCUGUGACGUUACUCGCAGAAGAAGCACCGGCUAACUCCGUGCCAGCAGCCGCGGUAAUACGGAGGGUGCGAGCGUUAAUCGGAAUUACUGGGCGUAAAGCGUGCGCAGGCGGUUUGUUAAGCGAGAUGUGAAAGCCCCGGGCUCAACCUGGGAACCGCAUUUCGAACUGGCAAACUAGAGUCUUGUAGAGGGGGGUAGAAUUCCAGGUGUAGC
Molecule: ribosomal RNA, 650 nt
Filed under: uncultured bacterium
Lineage: Bacteria
Description: bacterial SSU rRNA
Rfam family: Bacterial small subunit ribosomal RNA
Source: RNAcentral